Molecule: long non-coding RNA, 368 nt
Filed under: Mytilus galloprovincialis (Mediterranean mussel)
Lineage: Eukaryota; Metazoa; Mollusca; Bivalvia; Mytilida; Mytilidae
Source: RNAcentral
UGUUAUGUAUUUACAAAUCUGAUAUUUCUUUCCGUUUCCGUUUCCGUUCCGUUUUCCGUUUCCGCUGUUUAGCAACACCCAGUUAAAACAUAUUGAAUAUUCUUAUAAUUGCAGUGUUUGCCAUUUUGAUAUUGGAAUUAUUUUCUGGUCAUGUGGGCAGUUUAUAUUAAGAGAUUAUAUAUAAAACAAAUGGCAGACACAGCAAUUAUAAGAAUAUAGAAUAUAUUUGGGGCAAGAUAUAUUAAUUAUUUCUCAUUUUUAAAAUAAAGUAAAAAAAUAGUUUAUUACCAAGAAAAUUACCUUAUCUAAGUUAUGAAAAUCUUCUGUAUAUUCAAGAAAGAAUUAAAAACAAACAUAAAAUCAUAAAA